UGUUAAAUGCUGCCGGAACUUGAUUGAUAUUUGAUACAAUGUUUGUGUGCAAUUUGUGGAUUAAAACAGCGGAUGGCUUUUAACAAAAUUUAAUUUCAAUUGAGACUGAAACUGGUAUUACAUGGUUCAUUACAUAAUAUCAAAACUGUUUCGUUCUGUUCAACUAUUGCGUGAAUUCUAUUCUUCCCGUAAGUUUAUUUACGGAUUUAACACUGGGUCUAUCUUGAUCUUGACUACCCCUAUUGUUAAGAGGGGUAUCUGUUGCACGAUAUCAUCCGUUCAAACCAAACUAAAUAAAAGCAACAGUUGUAUACCACUGUUCGAAAUUUAUAAAUCGAAAAACAAAUAAGGGUUACAAACUAAAACUGAGGGAAACGCAUCAAAUAUAAGAGAACUACGACACAAAAGAACGAAACAGACCAUUAAAAUGUAACACACACAGAAACGAACUAUAAUAUAACAAUAGCCAUUUUCCUGACUUGGAACAGGACAUUUUAAGAAAAAAAUUGUGGUUACCUUGAAGAUCCUACAAGUCUAUUAGGAUCUUCAAGGUAUUAUCCAUAGCUUUCUAAGCAAUUGUGCUCCGAUCGGAUCUUCCUAUAUACUUUACUUUCAAAAUGUAGUAGGAAAGUAUUACAUAUUGUUCAUAUGCAAAUCGUUAUCUGUUAUGGGUGUUAUGUUGGUUGAUAAACCAGC
Molecule: long non-coding RNA, 696 nt
Filed under: Mytilus galloprovincialis (Mediterranean mussel)
Lineage: Eukaryota; Metazoa; Mollusca; Bivalvia; Mytilida; Mytilidae
Source: RNAcentral